UCUGGAGCAGGGAUGGAAGAGCAAUGUUCCAACGCUGCAUCUGGAGACUGGCUCCAGCCUCGCUGCACACCUGCAUCAGGCCUCAGGGAUCCCUGUGCCCAGCCUCUGCCCUAAAGAAGCCAGUUUGAAGGUCCAUUGGAAAAGCAGGGAUGACUGCUCACCAUUCAUUCCGAACUCAGGUUUUUUCCAUGUCCCCGGGCUGUGCAGUCCUCCAGAGCAGGCAGGUAGGAGAUGAGCAAGGUGGCUGGGAGCUGCUGAGUACCCCUGAGCUUUGGUGAGUGGAGACCACAGACAGGAGGACCUGACAGCUGGAGAGGUGCCCUGCAGAUACUCCACUAGGAAUCCAGACCUUCAUUCUGGCAGGGAGGGCAAUGCCAGAUCUGACACCUCUCUCUACCCUUUCUUAGAACCACAAAAUGAUAGAGAAGUGAGGACUCAAAGAGAUGGCUAAUCCGGGAUCACACACUCAGGACCAGACAGCCUCCACAGGCUCUCAGCAGAAAGAACCCAGUCUCAGAGGGAAGGCUGAAAUGUUCUCUGGCAGUGAGCAGUCCCUGGGCCCAGCUUCCUCCAGAGAGAGACUUUGAUCCAGUACAAGUCACACUACCGACCGGCAUGGCACACCCUUUCUCAAAGGCGUAAGAAUUCUGGUGACUUUGUGAUUCCCAAGUGAUGGGGAAGGACACUCCGUUGGUUAAUGGCAUCUGAUGGUGAGAGAGUCCCUUGUGGCCAGGCUGGAUCUGUUUAUUCUCCCAGUUUUCUAGAGCUUCCCAGAGAGACCCCAGAGCAGGGAAGCAAAAGCCAUUGCCAUUUUAGCCCGUGGCAAUAGAGGACAGUUGGAAACAUCACUUUAGGGUGGAAGGGUCUUCCAGAGGCCCCUUGAAUCAGCAACAAGGGGCAUUAGAGUCUGCUUCCGUCCUCACAAGAGGUUGAUCUGCCUGUAAAGGCAAGUCCUUCUAUUGCCAGUAAUAAGAAUGUGCGGAUGACUACAGCUGACAUUUAUUGAGCACUUACUGUGUGCAGUGUUCUAGGCACUGUCCAUGUGUUAACUCAUUUCACUCUUAUGAGUGGCUGCUGUGUUUGUCCCCAUUCUAUUGCUGAGAAAGCUCAGGCAACAGGAAGUUAAGUCCCUUGGUCUGACAACCAAGAGUGGUCAAGCAAAGACUCAAUCUGGUCUGCCUGACCCUAGAGUCCACGUCUUCCAGCUUUUGGACAGCUCCAGCCUUUACAAAAUCCUUGAGUAACUUGAAUUAAAAUUUCUUCCUAGAACGUGUGCCCCUCGGUCCUGGUUCUGCAUUUAGGGUUCUCUCUGCAGAACUCAACCCCCUCCAGUGAGACAGCCGUGUCCAGGGAUGUGUUCAGCUCCCAGUGCCCCCACCCAGCUCCUCUGCUCCAGACUGCAAAUGCCAUUAAUAUUUAGCAUUAGAAGGAUCUGGUGAAGCCCAUAAAUCUGCAUAUGUUAAAAAAAAAAAAAAAAAAAAACACCACAGGGAAUUCCUAAGUGGAGAGGGUGGGAGUAGGGGAUGGGGGAGGUGGCCCUUAAUUCUGCCUUGAGAAACCCCGCCUGAGGCCUCAGCACCUCCUUGUCCAGCCACCCACAAGUGAGGGUCAACUCAAGUGCCUGAGUGUCCUCUCUGCACCCUGAGAGACCGCUAUUCCCAGCCAUGCCCUGACCCCAGCCUCCAGCUUAGCAGCCAAGGCCCCCCACCCAGGACCAUCACAUGCCGGUUAGAAAGUCCCAGGCUCUGAGUGCAGUCAGAUUUUUACAGCAAAACCACAUUCCCUCGGCCCCAGCUUCCUUCUUUCUGUUUCUCUGAAGUAAUAACUGGUCGCAGCCAGCGCCAGAGAAAAGCAGUCUCCCAAUAGCUGAAAACAUCUGAAACUGGUGAUCAGCAGCUUCCUGAUAAGAUCCCAGAGUUGGGCAAGUGGACUCAAGCAUGCGCGCUAAGAGGCAAAAUGGCAGCAUUUACUUGGUAUAUGACCUUCCAGGGACAUUUGACUGGUAAGGGAAGAACGCCUCAAGUAAGCACACGUACAACUUCAGUAAAUAUACUGUGCAUGGUCCCCUCCCAAGCGCUGGCAGGCUGCUGUGCAUGCAGACAGCCCACCCCAAUGGAAGAAUCAGGGGAGAAGAGAAGCCGGACCCCAGAAGUAUGCCCACAUAUAAGACCCCAAUUCAAAGGUCAAACAGGGCACUUGUCUUUCAAGUUGCCCACUUGGCCCUCUUCCAAAUAUGCUUGCCUUCAUUCUGUUCCCACUCUAAAACUUUUUAAUAAACGUUCAUUCCUG
Molecule: long non-coding RNA, 2289 nt
Filed under: Homo sapiens (human)
Lineage: Eukaryota; Metazoa; Chordata; Mammalia; Primates; Hominidae
Description: HSALNT0230867
Source: RNAcentral